This 480-nucleotide ribosomal RNA is filed under the name Diplodus lineatus. RNAcentral's name for it is "partial 16S ribosomal RNA". It matches the Rfam family "Bacterial large subunit ribosomal RNA", at positions 1927 to 2556 of the family's 2925-position model. Lineage: Eukaryota; Metazoa; Chordata; Actinopteri; Spariformes; Sparidae. The record is from RNAcentral.
ACGGCCGCGGUAUUUUGACCGUGCGAAGGUAGCGCAAUCACUUGUCUUUUAAAUGAAGACCUGUAUGAAUGGCACCACGAGGGCUUAACUGUCUCCCUCUCCCAGUCAAUGAAAUUGAUCUCCCCGUGCAGAAGCGGGGAUAAGAACAUAAGACGAGAAGACCCUAUGGAGCUUAAGACGCCAGAACAGCCCACGUUAAACACCCCAAGAUAAAGGAAAAAACCAAGUGGACCCUGCUCUAGUGUUUUUGGUUGGGGCGACCGCGGGGAAAAACUUAACCCCCAUGUGGAAUAAGGAGUACUUUACUCUCAAAUCCAAGAGCUCCCGCUCUAAUAAACAGAAUUUCUGACCAGCAAGAUCCGGCAAUGCCGAUCAACGGACCCGAGUUACCCUAGGGAUAACAGCGCAAUCCUCUUAAAGAGCCCUUAUCGACAAGGGGGUUUACGACCUCGAUGUUGGAUCAGGACAUCCUAAUGGUGC